RNAcentral lists this ribosomal RNA (200 nucleotides) under uncultured bacterium. Its description in RNAcentral is "partial 16S ribosomal RNA". It matches the Rfam family "Bacterial small subunit ribosomal RNA", at positions 29 to 258 of the family's 1533-position model. The record is from RNAcentral.
AGCGAACGCUGGCGGCAGGCCUAAUACAUGCAAGUCGAACGAUCCUUCGGGAUAGUGGCAGACGGGUGAGUAACACGUGGGAACGUGCCUUUAGGUUCGGAAUAACACAGGGAAACUUGUGCUAAUACCGGAUGUGCCCUUCGGGGGAAAGAUUUAUCGCCUUUAGAGCGGCCCGCGUCUGAUUAGCUAGUUGGUGAGGU